Molecule: small RNA, 297 nt
Organism: Staphylococcus epidermidis RP62A
Lineage: Bacteria; Bacillati; Bacillota; Bacilli; Caryophanales; Staphylococcaceae
Rfam family: 5' ureB small RNA
Source: Rfam
CAACUUCAGCUUGUUCAGGAUUGAUGAAGUGCACGUGUGUAUCGAUACCGCCGGCAGUAACAAUUUUACCUUCAGCAGCAAUAAUAUCAGUUGUUGCACCAAUGAUGAUGUCAACGUUAUCCAUUAUAUCUGGGUUUCCAGCUUUACCGAUCUUAAAAAUAUAACCAUUUUUAAUUCCGAUAUCUGCUUUAACAAUCUUGUCAUAAUCAAUAAUUAAUGCGUUAGUUAAAACUAAAUCGGCUACAUUUUUAUCAUCUCUUGUCACAUUAGGAUUUUGAGCCAUACCAUCACGAAUUG